RNAcentral lists this ribosomal RNA (497 nucleotides) under uncultured bacterium. RNAcentral's name for it is "partial 16S ribosomal RNA". It matches the Rfam family "Bacterial small subunit ribosomal RNA", at positions 28 to 507 of the family's 1533-position model. The record is from RNAcentral.
GAUGAACGCUGGCGGCGUGCCUAAUACAUGCAAGUCGAGCGAACAGACGAGGAGCUUGCUCCUCUGACGUUAGCGGCGGACGGGUGAGUAACACGUGGAUAACCUACCUAUAAGACUGGGAUAACUUCGGGAAACCGGAGCUAAUACCGGAUAAUAUAUUGAACCGCAUGGUUCAAUAGUGAAAGACGGUUUUGCUGUCACUUAUAGAUGGAUCCGCGCCGCAUUAGCUAGUUGGUAAGGUAACGGCUUACCAAGGCAACGAUGCGUAGCCGACCUGGGAGGGUGAUCGGCCACACUGGAACUGAGACACGGUCCAGACUCCUACGGGAGGCAGCAGUAGGGAAUCUUCCGCAAUGGGCGAAAGUCUGACGGAGCAACGCCGCGUGAGUGAUGAAGGUCUUCGGAUCGUAAAACUCUGUUAUUAGGGAAGAACAAAUGUGUAAGUAACUAUGCACGUCUUGACGGUACCUAAUCAGAAAGCCACGGCUAACUACGUG